GAUGAACGCUGGCGGCGUGCCUAAUACAUGCAAGUCGAGCGAACAGACGAGGAGCUUGCUCCUCUGACGUUAGCGGCGGACGGGUGAGUAACACGUGGAUAACCUACCUAUAAGACUGGGAUAACUUCGGGAAACCGGAGCUAAUACCGGAUAAUAUAUUGAACCGCAUGGUUCAAUAGUGAAAGACGGUUUUGCUGUCACUUAUAGAUGGAUCCGCGCCGCAUUAGCUAGUUGGUAAGGUAACGGCUUACCAAGGCGACGAUGCGUAGCCGACCUGAGAGGGUGAUAGGCCACACGGGAACUGAGACACGGUCCAGACGCCUAAGGGAGGCAGCAGAAGGGAAUCUGCCGCAAUGGGCGAAAGCCUGACGGAGCAACGCCGCGUGAGUGAUGAAGGUCUUCGGAUCGUAAAAAUCUGUUAUUAGGGAAGAACAAAUGUGUAAGUAACUAUGCACGUCUUGACGGUACCUAAUCAGAAAGCCACGGCUAACUACGUG
RNAcentral lists this ribosomal RNA (497 nucleotides) under uncultured bacterium. RNAcentral's name for it is "partial 16S ribosomal RNA". It matches the Rfam family "Bacterial small subunit ribosomal RNA", at positions 28 to 507 of the family's 1533-position model. The record is from RNAcentral.